GCCGGGAUGGUGGAAUUUGGUAGACACCUACGUUUGAGGGGCGUAUGGGGCGACCCGUGCGGGUUCAAGUCCCGCUCCCGGCA
RNAcentral lists this transfer RNA (83 nucleotides) under bacterium. RNAcentral describes it as "tRNA-Leu". It matches the Rfam family "tRNA". From Rfam's summary of the family: Transfer RNA (tRNA) molecules are approximately 80 nucleotides in length. Their secondary structure includes four short double-helical elements and three loops (D, anti-codon, and T loops). The record is from RNAcentral.